GGUUGUGGCUCAAAGGUAGAAUGCUCGCCUAGCAUGCAUGAGGCUCUGAGUUCGAUCCUUAGCACCA
RNAcentral lists this transfer RNA (67 nucleotides) under Marmota monax (woodchuck). RNAcentral's name for it is "tRNA.Ala". Lineage: Eukaryota; Metazoa; Chordata; Mammalia; Rodentia; Sciuridae. The record is from RNAcentral.